CCAAUUCAGGCAAUAGUGUCUCUUUUCCGAGUUUUUCUGCCCAUUCAUCUCAACUGGAUUGAAGGGUCCAAUAGCCCAUUGCUUGUCUGAAUCGGUUAUUUUGGAUUUAACAUGGAGGUCAAGGUAUGGACCCUCUAUAGCUCUACAAGUGUUGAACAGGUAGCCAGAGCUAAUUGGCUUAAAAUCAUUUUGAAAUUUUACAAAGUCAGUCAGCUCUUGGGGGAAGCAACUUUCCCAUGUUGGAAGAUCUUCGAGUGGUUCGAGUAGUUCAGGCUGGGAUAGUUCAGGUUUCCCUUCUGGUUCCCCAAAAAACGAGUAUAUAGUGAAGGCUGAGGAGCUUGGAAAGCAGUAGGACUCUGCGUUCGGGAUUAAACGCACAUCCUGGAUGACAUAUGGCAUCAGAAAGUCAUAAAUAACUACCAAUCUUCUUGUUGUGCAAGAAAGUUGUUGCAGAAGUGCGUAAACUGGCUCACGGAGUUUGAUCGAUGCGUUGAAUGCUGGGAUGAGUUGUAUGGGAUAUUUUGUUGGGGCGUUUGGAUCCGGAGGAGGAGUUUCAUAAGAAGGGAUGGACAAUUCAUGGAAAUGGAUGUUGGAAAUGGCAAGAGGAUCCCAACCGUGGACACGAACCUUUGCCUGGCGGUUGUGAGAGGCCGUGCCAACAUAGUGAACAGGUAUAUCAUAGGCGGAGAUGAGGCGGGAGAGAUGGAGGAGCUGGUUGAGAUGGCCCUGUGCUGGAAGGGGAACCAUGACCACAGUCACUUCAUGAGUUUCUCGAAUAAUACCAACUGGGCUUUGGACUCUUGAAUGAUCAUCCAUGGCCAUUGGAAAGAUUUUGGAACUGGAAAUUUUGGAAAGCUCUUUUAUUUUGUCAGCUUGUUAGAAUUGCUUUGGUCGUUUGCUCUUAUAAGGUGUAAGAUGGAAGCUGGGGAGAGUCGUUAAUCGGAGUUGGAACUGUUGCUGGUAACUCUUCGGAUGUGUAAUAAUGUUACGGAUUAUUAUCACUUUACUCCCUCAACGUUUGGUGCUACUAUCAAUUUUACCCUUAACAUUAUUUUUUAGUCCCUUAACAUUAUCCAGAAGGUUGUGGAAGUAGUUUUUUUUAGUAAGUUCCGUCACAAUGAUAUCUUCAAGAUUGGAAAUUGCUUUGUCAGUGGAAGCCCGCAAUAUACGACUAGCCAUGCAAUGACAAGAAAACAUGAAAAAAAUAUUACUUUUAUUGUUUAUUUCGUAUCCAACAAAGAUUGAAUGAUGUAACAUUUCUUUGAUGAAUUGAAAACUGGUAGAUUACAUUUAUGCUGGAUGAAUUAGGUUUGAUUAUUUUUGGUUGGAAAAAGACAAAACGUCCAGCGGACUAUCGUGCCAAGCUCUGUUUUCAUCUCCAAAGAGCAUGUUCAUCACUUUAAUUGCCUGUUUGUUUUCUAAGAUUGCCAUUUCUCAAAAUUUUGAUAUUUAUCAGCUUUAACUUCUAAAGACAGUGGCAGAGGCAGGAUCUUUGGUUAGGUUUAAACUUACAAUGUAUUGAUUUGUAGAUUUUUAGAACAUUGUAUAUUCAUUAUACAAGCACGCUAAUUUGUUCAAUAACCAAUGUUACAAAAAUUGAACAAAAAAUCAAUAGCUCGUGAUUUUUUUUCGUUUGCUAGGUUAUUCUAAUCGUAUAAAAUGGUAUAGUAAUUAAAAUUAAGCAUUAGAAUACAAUAUUUAAAUUCUAAUACGUCUAGAAAGUGAAUAUUUUGUAUGCAAUCGAACCAUGAAAUGAAUACUUGGUUCACUUGUAAUUCAUGUGAUUUAACAUUAAGAAAAGUUCAAUAUUAAGUAAAUAGCAUAUGUAAGAAAGGAAAAAGCUAACAUCCUAUCAUAUAUUUUAGUUCAAUGUUUCAUUGUGGAAAUAUUGAAGGUAGUUUUAAAAAUUUUAAUACUUUUGGGGCACAGUCUGAGGGUUAGAAGGAAUACUAUCAAAAUUCACAAGGAGCAAGAGUGAGACAAAAAAUUUUAAAUUUUUUACAGAUUAUUUUACAGUUUCUAUUGAGGGAGUGGUCAGACUGCAUGUGGCUCUGCCACCGGCUAAAGAUGUCGAGAAGUUGAAGGCCGAAAGUCUUAAGAACUUGCAGCGUAAGAAAAAGGCAAAUUGGUUGGUUUUUGGGGUACUUCAUUUCAUGAAUGAUAGAGAGCCAAAUUCCUUUUGGCUACAUCAAAGUCUUCAUGAGGUUAUAGGAUUUAUAUCUUUUAAUAGCUAGGAAAUUACAAUGAAACAACAUUUUUAAAUUUAAUAAACCAAAUUGUCCGACCACUAGAUGCAUGUGGUUUUGUAAAGACUGCAUUUCGUCCAUCCUGACCGGUUGGAUGACAAUUUCCAGAUAAUGACGGAAUAAAAUAAGUUCAUCAAAUUAACAACGUACGUAGGACUAGGAGAAGGCCAAAACACAAACAUUAAAGUGCCUUCUACCUAGGACUGAUGAUGUUUUGUGUUUCUUUAUAUUUUGAAUCAUGCGGUGAACAAGUGAGGAUCAUGGAAUAGGAAGAGCCAAGUGUCUAAUUAAUCGAAAUUAGUACUAUUAGAAAGCUGGUCAGCUGCAGUUUACUGAAAAUUUCAUUGCAAUGGAUUUAACUUAAUAAGUUACAAUUUUUAUUACUCAGAAUUCCUGCUGAUUGAAGAACCUAAUGAUUUGGAUGAACUGAAAUCUACCUACGAAUAUGAGCAAUGAAAGAAUCCAUCUCCAAGCGACUUAGACCACCUUCCAUAACAGAUCCCUUGACAGCUUUGCUCAAUUCUCUGGCUCUUUGCCUCAUCUCUUCUCCUUCAGCUGAAUCCAUCAAUCUUCUCACAGCAUUUUCAACAGUUAUGGAUGUCACAAGUUCAUUCUGCUUCGACCAAUCCCUUACCUUUAGACCAAUCUUGAGCACCUUUUCCAGUAGUAUCGCGUUUCGGGGCUGGUCAGAAUGCAUAGGCCAUGCUGCCACGGGUACUCCCAUGCUAAUGCUUUCUAUGCACGAGUUCCAUCCGCAAUGACUCAUGAAUCCACCUGUUGAUGAAUGUCCAAGAAUCUCCAGUUGGGGCGCCCAAUCCCUCACAACAAUUCCCCUUCUUUCAAUUCUCUCUUCAAAUCCUUCUGGCAGCUGAGCCCUCCUAUCUUCUCCCUGGAAGACGUCUCCUUUAUCUGCAUCCCUCAGUACCCAUAUGAAUUUUUGCCCACUUUUAUCUAAUCCAGUUGCAAUCUCCUUGGCUUCUUCAUCAGACACCGAAGUUGUUGAACCAAAAGAAAUGAAAAUGACCGAAUCUGGCGCUUGUUUGUCCAGCCAAUCCAGGCAAUAGUGUCUCUUUUCCGAGUUUCUCUGCCCAUUCAUCUCAACUGGAUUGAAGGGUCCAAUAGCCCAUUGCUUGUCAGAGUCGGUUAUUUUGGAUUUAACAUGGAGGUCAAGGUAUGGACCCUCUAUAGCUCUACAACUGUUGAACAGGUAGCCGGAGCUAAUUGGCUUAAAAUCCUGUUGCAAUUUUGCAAAGUCAGUCAGCUCCUGGGGGAAGCAGCUUUCCCAUGUUGGAAGAUCAUCGAGUGGUUCGAGUAGUUCAGGCUCGGAUAGUCCAGGUUUCCCUUCUUGUUCCCAGACAAACGAGUAUAUAGUGAAGGCUGAGGUGCCUGGAGAGCAGUAGGACUCUGCGUUCGGGAUUAAACCCACAUCCUGGAUGACAUAUGCCAUCAGAGAGUCAUAAAUAACUACCAAUCUUCUUGAUGUGCCAGAAAGUUGUUGCAGAAGUGCGUAAACUGGCUCGCGGAGUUUGAUCGAUGUGUUGAACACUGGGAUGAGUUGUGUGGGAAAUUUUGUUGGGGCAUUUGGGUUGGGAGGAGGAGUUUCAUAAGAAGGGAUGGAAAAUUCAUGGAAAUGGAUGUUGGAAAUGGCAAGAGGAUCCCAACCGUGGACGCGAACCUUUGCCUGGCGGAUGUGAGAGGCCGUGCCGACAUAGUGAACAGGUAUAUCAUAGGAGGAGAUGAGGCGGGAGAGAUGGAGGAGCUGGUUGAGAUGGCCCUGUGCUGGAAGGGGAACUAUGACCACAGUCACUUCAUGGGUUUCUCGAAUAAUACCAACUGGCCUUUGGUAUUGGCUUUGAACUCUUGAAUGAUCAUCCAUGGCCAUUGGAAAGAUAAUUGGAACUGGGAAAUUUUGGAAAGCUCUUUUAUUUUGUCAGCUCGUUAGAAUUGAUUUGCUCGUUUGGUCCUGUAAGAAUUGAUGGAAGCUAGGGUCAUUAAUCGGAGUUAGAAUCUGUGGCUGGUAACUCUUCGGAUGUGUAAUAAUGUUGCGGGGCAACAUUUUCCAAUUCAUCCAAGUCUUGUGCGGUUUGACGAAAAUGAGCCCCGUACUCAAUCCAUUAUUGUGGGACAAGGGAGAAAAAUGCGAAAGUGACAAUGUUGUAGUAGGCCCUCCCCAAAUGUGUGUCAUAAAUUGAUGGAAUCUUCUCGAUAUGAGUGGCGGGUGUAAAAGAAAAAAAUAACUGUUCGAAUUUCGAAAUGUAAUUUGGCUUUUCCACUUUCUUCUGUUUUGUAAAAUCUUGUUAUUACGAGUGAAGAAUAGGAUAAGAUAGUAGAUUCAGUGGAUAAAAGGAACGUAAGUAAUUUGGGAAGCGUAUAAAAGAAAAGUAGAGUGACUUUAAACUCAUGAUCUCUUGUAUUUUGUCACUUAGUUGAAUUCUCUCGCAAGUGGUUUAACUUUUUUCAAGUUAAAUUUCGAAACCAUUAAAGAGUGAAAAUUUAAUAAUAGGAUAGGGGUGUGUGCCAUUGGAUUGUCCAUGAAAGCGCCAAGGGUAGGCAGGCUUACAACAUCUCUCAAAGAUCAAAAGAGAAAAAAGUUGCUAGUUGAAUGAGCGUGUAUUUCUGUUUGAAUUAACUAUUUUUGAGUGUGUUUUUGAAAAAUUUUAUGAUAUUAGUGUAUAUAAAAAAAAAUUUUGAGAUUUUUUUUUGAAUUUUAUAUAUUUGUAUAUUAUUAUAAUAUUAUAUUUAAAAAUUUUGUUUUUUAAAAACAAGCAAUCCAAACAGAGCGGCACUUUCCUCUUUCAUAGUCAUAAAUUCUUCACCUCUUACCCUUAAAAGGGAAAAAAAAAAAAAAAAAAACUUCCAUCCUUUAUCACCUUAUACAUAGAAAAAGGUAAAUUAAACUUUCAACCACAUCAAAGUCAAUGCCAGUACUUCUAAUAAAUUGUCUUCAGCAAAACUUAUCUACCACAGCAAACAAAAGUAUAGACUCGUCACUGUAAAUUGCCCGAAUUUGACUUUUCUUCAAUCAAAUAUCGUCCUUGAACAUGUGAGACACUUGAGAAUGAAAAUAAAAUCUCAUGUGCAAUUUCUCACUCAUUAACAUGAGCAUAGCUUUUAAGAACAACUUUUUCUUCUGAUGAGCGACUAGCUGAAACCCCUACCCGAAUUUCACUUAAACCACUUAAUUUUAAACAUUUUUUCCCAUCACUCCUUGCCAUACUAAUAUAUUUUGAGCUUUAGGACAACCAUUCACAAUUCUAUAGUUUUAUCAUUGAUUAAAUCUCUAUUUAUCUUGCUUCGAUUCAAUAACCUAUAGGAAUAACAAAUUCUCACGAGAUCCUUUUUUCUAAUCUCGUUUUUAACACCCUAAAUCCAUCUGACUUUUCAUGAUAAAAUUUAUGGUCCAAUCUUCACGAACUAAAUAUUGCGGGACCAAUUUUUGUGGCUUUGCUCGAUCAGAACUGUAUGUUAUCAAGUUCACAGCUCACCUCAACAUAGAGGAAUGAUACCUGAACUGUAUGUUAUCAAGUUCACAGCUCUAUGCAGUUGUUUUAUAUUUUUUUGGAGCACAAUACGCUACAUCGUUGUAUUUCUUAAAAAUAUUAAUAUACAUGAAUAAUAUAUAUGUAUAUAUAUAUAUAUAUAUAUAUAUAUAUAUAUAUAUUCGAUAUAAUGAUAUAAUGUGAUUGUAUACCAAAUAUUAUAACAAAUAUAGUAAUCGAGGAAUCGGAUUCAAUACAAUUGUACGUCCCCCAGAUUCAACGAUAACCAGAUGGGCCCAUUUUUCUGUUUUUUUACCCAAAGAAAAGUCGACUCAUUCUGACUAUUCUUCUUCAACCAAUUUAAAAAAUAAAUAUUUUUCACAAUGUUUUCCCAAAAUCAGCAUUAAAGAUAAUGACGGAAUAAAAUAAGUUCAUCAAAUUAACAACUUACGUAGGACUAGGAGAAGGCCAAGACACAAACAUUAAAGUGCUUCUACCUAGGACUGAUGAUGCUUGCUGUUUCUUUAUAUUUUGAAUCAUGUGGAGUAUCGAAUAAGAAGAGCUAAGUGUCUCAUUAAUCGAAAUUAAUACUAUUAGGAAGCUGGUCAGCCGCAGUUUUACUGAAAAUUUCAUUGCAAUUGACUUAAUAAGUUACAAUUUUAUUACUCAGAAUUCCUGCUGAUUGAAGAACCUAAUGAUUUGGAUGAGCUGAAAGUCUACCUACGGAUAUGAGCAAUGAAAGAAUCCAUCUCCAAGCGACUAACACCACCUUCCAUAACAGAGCCUUUGACAGCUUUGCUCAAUUCUCUGGCUCUUUGCCUCAUCUCUUCUCCUUCAGCUGAAUCCAUCAAUCUUCUCACAGCAUUUUCAACAGUAAUGGAUGUCACAAGUUCAUUCUGCUUUGACCAAUCCCUUAUUAUUAGACCAAUCUUGAGCACCUUUUCCAGUAGUAUCGCGUUUCUGGGCUGGUCAGAAUGCAUAGGCCAUGCUGCCACGGGUACUCCCAUGCUAAUGCUUUCUAUGCACGAGUUCCAUCCGCAAUGGCUCAUGAAUCCACCUGUUGAUGAAUGUCCAAGAAUCUCCAGUUGGGGGGCCCAAUCCCUCACAACUAUUCCUCUUCCUUCAGUUCUCUCUGCGAAUCCUUCAGGCAACUGAGCUCUCCUAUCUUCUCCCUGGAAGACAUCUCCUUUGUCUGCAUCCCUCAGUACCCAUAUAAAUUUUUGCCCGCUUUUGUCUAGCCCAAUUGCGAUCUCCUCGGCUUCUUCAUCUGAUAUUGAAGUUGUUGAACCAAAGGAAAUGAAAAUGACCGAGUUUGGCGCUUGUUUGUCCAGCCAAUCCAGGCAAUAGUGUCUCUUCUUCAAGUUUUUCUGUUCAUUCAUCUCUACUGGAUUGAAUGGACCAAUAGCCCAUUGCUUGUCCGAGUCAGUUAUUCCGGAUUUUGCAAGGAGGUCAAGGUAUGGACCCUCUAUAGCUCUACAAGUAUUGAACAGGGAGCCAGAGGUAAUUGGCUUGUUAUCAUGUUGCAAUUUUACAAAGUCCAUCAGCUCCUGGGGGAAGCAGCUUUCAAGUGUUGGAAGA
This 7303-nucleotide long non-coding RNA is filed under the name Coffea arabica (coffee). RNAcentral's name for it is "long non-coding RNA (CARA_LNC004097)". Lineage: Eukaryota; Viridiplantae; Streptophyta; Magnoliopsida; Gentianales; Rubiaceae. The record is from RNAcentral.